CAGUAGCCGCGGGAAUACGUAGGUGGCAAGCGUUGUCCGGAAUUAUUGGGCGUAAAGCGCGCGCAGGCGGAUCGGUCAGUCUGUCUUAAAAGUUCGGGGCUUAACCCCGUGAUGGGAUGGAGACUGCCAAUCUAGAGUAUCGGAGAGGAAAGUGGAAUUCCUAGUGUAGCGGUGAGAUGCGUAGAUAUUAGGAAGAACACCAGUGGCGAAGGCGACUUUCUGGACGAAAACUGACGCUGAGGCGCGAAAGCCAGGGGAGCGAACGGGAUUAGAUACCCCCGUAGUCCCUGUCUCUUAUACC
This 301-nucleotide ribosomal RNA is filed under the name uncultured bacterium. Its description in RNAcentral is "partial 16S ribosomal RNA". It matches the Rfam family "Bacterial small subunit ribosomal RNA", at positions 509 to 808 of the family's 1533-position model. The record is from RNAcentral.